This 279-nucleotide ribosomal RNA is filed under the name Triticum aestivum (bread wheat). Its description in RNAcentral is "partial small subunit ribosomal RNA". Lineage: Eukaryota; Viridiplantae; Streptophyta; Magnoliopsida; Poales; Poaceae. The record is from RNAcentral.
GCCGAGGACAAGCUUAUUUGUGAGUGUUGGAGAGAUAUUGGGCAAGACCCGAAGACGGGCACCGAACAAAAGCAUUCAACUUUUUGGAUUCGUGUCCACCAUGAGUUCCAUGAGCGCAAUAAGUUUUCGCCGUACCAAAUAGUAAGAACACGCGGGUAGGUGUCCAUUUCAAAGCAAUGGAGGGUGAUCCAACAAGAGUGAAACAAGUUUUGUGCCACUCUUGAGAGCGUCAAGGCCCACCCCGUGAGCGGCAUCGGCAUGCAAGACAUGGUAUGCUAG